CCUACGGGAGGCAGCAGUGGGGAAUAUUGGGCAAUGGGCGUAAGCCUGACCCAGCAACGCCGCGUGAAGGAAGAAGGCUUUCGGGUUGUAAACUUCUUUUGACAGGGAAGAGCAGAAGACGGUACCUGUCGAAUAAGCCACGGCUAACUACGUGCCAGCAGCCGCGGUAAU
This 171-nucleotide ribosomal RNA is filed under the name uncultured Eubacteriales bacterium. RNAcentral's name for it is "uncultured Clostridiales bacterium partial 16S ribosomal RNA". It matches the Rfam family "Bacterial small subunit ribosomal RNA", at positions 338 to 524 of the family's 1533-position model. Lineage: Bacteria; Bacillati; Bacillota; Clostridia; Eubacteriales. The record is from RNAcentral.